CCUACGGGGGGCAGCAGUGGGGAAUAUUGGACAAUGGGGGGAACCCUGAUCCAGCCAUGCCGCGUGUGUGAAGAAGGCCCUCGGGUUGUAAAGCACUUUCAGUGAGGAAGAACGCCUGGUGGUUAAUACCCAUCAGGAAAGACAUCACUCACAGAAGAAGCACCGGCUAACUCCGUGCCAGCAGCCGCGGUAAUACGGAGGGUGCGAGCGUUAAUCGGAAUUACUGGGCGUAAAGCGCGCGUAGGUGGCUUGAUAAGCCGGUUGUGAAAGCCCCGGGCUCAACCUGGGAACGGCAUCCGGAACUGUCAGGCUUGAGUGCAGGAGAGGAAGGUAGAAUUCCCGGUGUAGCGGUGAAAUGCGUAGAGAUCGGGAGGAAUACCAGUGGCGAAGGCGGCCUUCUGGACUGACACUGACACUGAGGUGCGAAAGCGUGGGUAGCAAACAGGAUUAGAUACCCGAGUAGUC
Molecule: ribosomal RNA, 465 nt
Filed under: Vreelandella stevensii
Lineage: Bacteria; Pseudomonadati; Pseudomonadota; Gammaproteobacteria; Oceanospirillales; Halomonadaceae
Description: partial 16S ribosomal RNA
Rfam family: Bacterial small subunit ribosomal RNA
Source: RNAcentral